RNAcentral lists this ribosomal RNA (403 nucleotides) under uncultured bacterium. Its description in RNAcentral is "partial 16S ribosomal RNA". It matches the Rfam family "Bacterial small subunit ribosomal RNA", at positions 30 to 526 of the family's 1533-position model. The record is from RNAcentral.
AUUGAACGCUGGCGGCAGGCCUAACACAUGCAAGUCGAGCGAGCGGCGGACGGGUGAGUAAUGUAUGGGGACUGCCCGAUAGAGGGGGCUAACUCCUGGGAACGGUAGCUAAUACCGCAUACUAUCGGAUCACCCAUAUUGGAUUAGAGAGUAGGUGAGGUAAUGGCUCACCUAGGCGACGAUCCCUAGCUGGUCUGAGAGGAUGAUCAGCCACACUUGUACGUCGACACGGCCCAGACUCCUACGGAGGCAGCAGUGGGGAAUAUUGCACAAUGGGCGCAAGCCUGAUGCAGCCAUGCCGCGUGUAUGAAGAAGGCCAUAGGGUUGUAAAGUACUUUCAGUCGGGAGGCGUUACCGACAGAAGAAGCACCGGCUAACUCCGUGCCAGCCGCCGCGGUAAUUC